AAUAGAUACCCAGGUAGUCCACGCCCUAAACGUUGCGAACUAGGUGUUGGCGAGAUUGACCUCGUCAGUGCCGCAGCUAACGCAUUAAGUUCGCCGCCUGGGAAGUACGGUCGCAAGAUUAAAACUCAAAGGAAUAGGCGGGGGCCCGCACAAGCAGCGGAGCGUGUGGUUUAAUUCGAUGCGACGCGAAGAACCUUACCUGGGCUUGACAUGUUUCGGAAACCUCGGUGAAAGCCGGGGCUCCCAGCAAUGGGCCGUUGCACAGGUGGUGCAUGGCUGUCGUCAGCUUGUGCCGUGAGGUGUUGGGUUAAGUCCCGCAACGAGCGCAACCCCCAUCACUAGUUGCCAUCAGGUAACGCUGGGAACUCUAGUGAAACUGCCGUCGUAAGACGCGAGGAAGGAGGGGAUGAUGUCAAGUCAUCAUGGCCUUUAUGCCCAGGGCUACACACGUGCUACAAUGGGGCGUACAAAGGGCUGCCACUUAGUGAUAAGGAGCCAAUCCCAAAAAACGCCUCUCAGUUCAGAUUGG
This 529-nucleotide ribosomal RNA is filed under the name uncultured bacterium. RNAcentral's name for it is "bacterial SSU rRNA". It matches the Rfam family "Bacterial small subunit ribosomal RNA", at positions 777 to 1301 of the family's 1533-position model. The record is from RNAcentral.